AGAGUUUGAUCAUGGCUCAGGACGAACGCUGGCGGCGUGCCUAACACAUGCAAGUCGAGCGGGAACCUCAGGAGGGGUAACCCUUCUGAGGGGAGAGCGGCGAACGGGUGAGUAACACGUGGGCAACCUGCCCCGGACACCGGGAUAACCCAGGGAAACCUGAGCUAAUACCGGAUACUCCGGCGUGAUCGCAUGGUCGCGUCGGGAAAGCUCCGACGGUCCGGGAUGGGCCCGCGGCCUAUCAGCUUGUUGGUGGGGUAACGGCCCACCAAGGCGACGACGGGUAGCUGGCCUGAGAGGACGGCCAGCCACACUGGGACUGAGACACGGCCCAGACUCCUACGGGAGGCAGCAGUGGGGGAUCUUGCGCUAAUGCGCGAAAGCGUGACGCAGCGACGCCGCGUGGGGGAUGAAGGCCUUCGGGUUGUAAACCCCUUUCGGCAGGGACGAAGGGAAACUGACGGUACCUGCAGAAGAAGUCCCGGCUAACUACGUGCCAGCAGCCGCGGUA
This 511-nucleotide ribosomal RNA is filed under the name uncultured Actinomycetes bacterium. Its description in RNAcentral is "bacterial SSU rRNA". It matches the Rfam family "Bacterial small subunit ribosomal RNA", at positions 8 to 522 of the family's 1533-position model. The record is from RNAcentral. Lineage: Bacteria; Bacillati; Actinomycetota; Actinomycetes.